AUUGAACGCUGGCGGCAGGCCUAACACAUGCAAGUCGAACGGUAACAGAAAGCAGCUUGCUGCUUUGCUGACGAGUGGCGGACGGGUGAGUAAUGUCUGGGAAACUGCCUGAUGGAGGGGGAUAACUACUGGAAACGGUAGCUAAUACCGCAUAACGUCGCAAGACCAAAGAGGGGGACCUUCGGGCCUCUUGCCAUCGGAUGUGCCCAGAUGGGAUUAGCUAGUAGGUGGGGUAACGGCUCACCUAGGCGACGAUCCCUAGCUGGUCUGAGAGGAUGACCAGCCACACUGGAACUGAGACACGGUCCAGACUCCUACGGGAGGCAGCAGUGGGGAAUAUUGCACAAUGGGCGCAAGCCUGAUGCAGCCAUGCCGCGUGUAUGAAGAAGGCCUUCGGGUUGUAAAGUACUUUCAGCGAGGAGGAAGGUGUUGAGGUUAAUAACCUCAGCAAUUGACGUUACUCGCAGAAGAAGCACCGGCUAACUCCGUGCCAGCAGCCGCCGUAA
Molecule: ribosomal RNA, 506 nt
Filed under: uncultured bacterium
Lineage: Bacteria
Description: partial 16S ribosomal RNA
Rfam family: Bacterial small subunit ribosomal RNA
Source: RNAcentral